UUACAGGUCUGGCAAUUGGAAUGAGAACAAUUUAAAUCCCUUAUCGAGUAUCAAUUGGAGGGCAAGUCUGGUGCCAGCAGCCGCGGUAAUUCCAGCUCCAAUAGCGUAUAUUAAUGUUGUUGCAGUUAAAAAGCUCGUAGUUGAAUUUCUGGACUUAAUUUCUGGUCCGAGGCCUUGUGUCUUGUGUACUUUGAUUUUAUUAAGUCCAUCUUAGUAGUGAAUGUUACUGGCAUUAAGUUAUCGGUAGCAGGAGCUGCUUCAUUUACUGUGAAUAAAAUAGAGUGUUCAAAGCAGGCAUUACGCCUUGAAUACUUCAGCAUGGAAUAAAAAAAUAGGACUUUGGUGCUAUUUUAUUGGUUUGCACACCAAGUAAUGAUUAAUAGGGAUAGUUGGGGGUAUUCAUAUUUGAUUGUCAGAGGUGAAAUUCUUGGAUUUAUGAAAGAUGAACUACUGCGAAAGCAUUUACCAAGGAUGUUUUCAUUAAUCAAGAACGAAAGUUAGGGGAUCGAAGAGGAUUAGAUACCCUCGUAGUCUUAACCAUAAACUAUGCCGACUCGGGA
Molecule: ribosomal RNA, 560 nt
Filed under: uncultured heterokont
Lineage: Eukaryota
Description: bacterial SSU rRNA
Rfam family: Eukaryotic small subunit ribosomal RNA
Source: RNAcentral